UUACCGAGUAUGGGGCGCGAGCCCGUACCCACACCCCCUGCUUACGCUMAAUCGUUGCUUCGGCGGGCUGCGGCCCUGUCCGCUCCCGGCGCCCCCCGUGGCGCGGGGAUGCGCCCGCCGAGGGACCAACCCAAACGCAUGGCAAACGAGUCUGUCCGAGUCGAUUGUGAAUCAGUCAAAACUUUCAACAACGGAUCUCUUGGUUCGGGCAUCGAUGAAGAACGCAGCGAAAUGCGAUAAGUAAUGUGAAUUGCAGAAUUCCGUGAAUCAUCGAAUCUUUGAACGCACAUUGCGCCCGGUGGCAUUCCGCCGGGCACGCCUGUCCGAGCGUCAUUGCAACAAUCAAGCCUGGCUUGGUGUUGGGGGCCCGUCGCGCCUGGCGCGACCCCCCCGGAACCCGUUGGCGGUGGCUCUCUGCCCCGAUCGUCGCGCAUGUUACGACGGGACGGAGGGCCGCCCGCCGAACCCCCCACGACGCGAAGUUUGACCUCGGAUCAGGCGGGGAUACCCGCUGAACUUAAGCAUAUCAAUAAGCGGAGGAAAAGAAACCAACAGGGAUUACCUUAGUAACGGCGAGUGAACUGGUAACGGCUCAAAUUUGAAAUCUGGCACCCGCCCGAGUUGUAAUUUGCAGAGGAUGCUUUGGCAGCGCACCGGUCCAAGUCCGUUGGAACACGGCGUCGCAGAGGGUGACAAUCCCGUCGCGACCGGCCUGCAACGCCAUGUAAAGCUCCUUCGACGAGUCGAGUUGUUUGGGAAUGCAGCUCAAAAUGGGAGGUAAAUUUCUUCUAAAGCUAAAUAUUGGCCCGAGACCGAUAGCGCACAAGUAGAGUGAUCGAAAGAUGAAAAGCAUCUUGGAAAGGAAUCGAAACAGCACGUGAAAUUGUUGAAGGGGAAGCGCUAGCGAUGAGACUCAUCGCGGUCGUUCACCGGGGCCUCGGCCCCGGGCACUCGACCGCGUUGGCCCGCAUCGGUUGGGGCGGUGGGAGAAACGCCAACGGAAUGUGGCUCCCCUCGGGGAGUGUUAUAGCCGUGGUGCAAUACCGCCUGCCCCGACCGA
This 1060-nucleotide ribosomal RNA is filed under the name fungal endophyte. RNAcentral describes it as "eukaryotic LSU rRNA". Lineage: Eukaryota; Fungi. The record is from RNAcentral.